UAGGGAAUCUUCCGCAAUGGGCGAAAGCCUGACGGAGCAACGCCGCGUGAGUGAUGAAGGGUUUCGGCUCGUAAAACUCUGUUAUUAGGGAAGAACAAAUGUGUAAGUAACUGUGCACAUCUUGACGGUACCUAAACAGAAAGCCACGGCUAACUACGUGCCAGCAGCCGCGGUAAUACGUAGGUGGCAAGCGUUAUCCGGAAUUAUUGGGCGUAAAGCGCGCGUAGGCGGUUUCUUAAGUCUGAUGGGAAAGCCCACGGCUCAACCGGGGAGGGUCAUUGGAAACGGGGAAACUUGAGUGCAGAAGAGGAAGGUGGAAUUGCAUGUGUAGCGGUGAAAUGCGCAGAGAUAUGGAGGAACACCAGUGGCGAAGGCGACUUUCUGGUCUGUAACUGACGCUGAGGUGCGAAAGCGUGGGGAUC
Molecule: ribosomal RNA, 422 nt
Filed under: uncultured bacterium
Lineage: Bacteria
Description: bacterial SSU rRNA
Rfam family: Bacterial small subunit ribosomal RNA
Source: RNAcentral